Molecule: ribosomal RNA, 467 nt
Filed under: uncultured bacterium
Lineage: Bacteria
Description: partial 16S ribosomal RNA
Rfam family: Bacterial small subunit ribosomal RNA
Source: RNAcentral
GACGAACGCUGGCGGCGUGCUUAACACAUGCAAGUCGAACGGAAAGGCCUCUUUCGGGGGGUACUCGAGUGGCGAACGGGUGAGUAACACGUGAGUAACCUGCCCUUGACUUUGGGAUAACUUCAGGAAACUGGGGCUAAUACCGGAUAGGAGCUCCUGCUGCAUGGUGGGGGUUGGAAAGUUUCGGCGGUUGGGGAUGGACUCGCGGCUUAUCAGCUUGUUGGUGGGGUAGUGGCUUACCAAGGCUUUGACGGGUAGCCGGCCUGAGAGGGUGACCGGCCACAUUGGGACUGAGAUACGACCCAGACUCCUACGGGAGGCAGCAGUGGGGAAUAUUGCACAAUGGGUGGAAGCCUGAUGCAGCAACGCCGUGUGCGGGAUGACGGCCUUCGGGUUGGAAACCGCUUUCGCUCAUGACGAAGCUUUGUGUGACGGUAGUGGGUAAAGAAGCACCGGCUAACUACGUG